AACGAACGCUGGCGGCAGGCCUAACACAUGCAAGUCGAGCGAGGACUUCGGUUCUAGCGGCGGACGGGUGAGUAACGCGUGGGAAUGUGCCCUUCUCUACCGAAUAGCCCUGGGAAACUGGGAGUAAUACCGUAUACGCCCUAUUGGGGAAAGAUUUAUCGGAGAAGGAUCAGCCCGCGUUGGAUUAGGUAGUUGGUGGGGUAAUGGCCUACCAAGCCGACGAUCCAUAGCUGGUUUGAGAGGAUGAUCAGCCACACUGGGACUGAGACACGGCCCAGACUCCUACGGGAGGCAGCAGUGGGGAAUCUUAGACAAUGGGGGCAACCCUGAUCUAGCCAUGCCGCGUGAGUGAUGAAGGCCUUAGGGUUGUAAAGCUCUUUCAGCUGGGAAGAUAAUGACGGUACCAGCAGAAGAAGCCCCGGCUAACUCCGUG
RNAcentral lists this ribosomal RNA (433 nucleotides) under uncultured bacterium. RNAcentral's name for it is "partial 16S ribosomal RNA". It matches the Rfam family "Bacterial small subunit ribosomal RNA", at positions 29 to 507 of the family's 1533-position model. The record is from RNAcentral.